CUCCGACGAAGUCAAGUGUUACAUAGUCAUGUUUGGAAGUUGGUACUACCAUAUGACCAACGAUGUAUAUGACAAAAGCAAUUUUGAAACAUUCUUUCUCAAACUGAGUCGAUUCCGCCGUGAGUGGUUUGGACAAGAACAACUCAGCUGUUUUCAGGCUGUGAGCCCCUUUCUCUGAUAUUUCAAGUGCUGCUUUCUUAUAAUGCGAGAAAGAUGGGGACAUGUCUUCGAUUUCUGCGGCAACGACUUUACCAUCCGCGAAACCAAAACGAUUUACAAAAAGAAAGGAAAAGAAAAACAGGAAUAAGGGCAAGGCCCAGGAGGUGUCACAGUUACUCCAAAAAAAACCUUCCUAAUGAGGUUGAAGUGGGCUACACUUUGAUCAAGCACUACAGUCGGGGAGGAUUUGAUGUUUUAAAAAAUUCUCUGAUUUAUUGAACUCUUUUACGGUACCUUUAUACUGCCCGGGAAAGGUGAGCGGUAUAUACUUAAUCUGACCGUCCAUUUUCCAGGACAUUACCGCUAUUUGCAUUUAAUUAUCAAUAUAUGUUUACGUAAAAGUAAUUUAUCCAGG
This 574-nucleotide long non-coding RNA is filed under the name Brachypodium distachyon (stiff brome). Its description in RNAcentral is "long non-coding RNA (BDIS_LNC004481)". The record is from RNAcentral. Lineage: Eukaryota; Viridiplantae; Streptophyta; Magnoliopsida; Poales; Poaceae.